UGUAGGGUUUAGGAGGAGGGGUCGAGGGUGUAGAAGAUAAGGUCACCGAAUUAAGGUGAUACCGAGGGAGGCAAGGGAGUCGUCGGGAGAGGCGGAGAGAAGAGGGAGCGUCGGAGAUGGAUUCGGAGAGGGAUUGUUUGAGGUGGUGGAGAGAACACAGAUUCGGGACCUCGAUUCAGAGAGUCUGUUUGGACUCAAUAGCAGAGCUUGAAUUUACGAAUUGGAAUAUAGAGCAUGAAUAAUUCAAAAGCAAGUGAUUUAAUUACUGGGCUUGGAGAUAAAGAUGGACGACGAAGUCCGCUUGGUUCCCUUCUAUUCCAUCAAUUCAAGCCAUACAUUUAACAUUGAGGUACUCUGAGUUUGCAUAAUUUUUUUUUUUGAUUAAGAUAGAAGCACCCAGCUUCUGUCCUUUGUUGUUUGACUUGAAUUGAACACAAACUCGUAGCAAUUUGACAAUCAUACUCAGUUAUAUAUAUUUUGGUCAUUCUUCAAAGCACCUGGAUAGAGGCUUAUGUUCUUUAUCAUUUAGUUAUCAUAUAAAGCAAAGCUGGAGCAUCCUUUUGACAUGUCUAACAAUCAUGCUUUUAAUUAUAGCACUGAAUCUGUUUUUUAUAUGACAGGUCUUGAUUAUAUCUCCACCGCCAAGCUUUCUCACAAUUGAACACAUGAACUUGCUCCCCAUUGACUUGAUUUUGAAGGAUACUUGACCACAACAAUAAUUUGGUGUUCGUGUCCUCCGAGUUUCCCUGUGUUUGGGUAGCAGAGUGGAGAUAAGGCAAUGGUUUUAUGCUUUGUGGAGUUUGUGGAUCCAAAGUGUGCUUUCACAGCUAUGGAAGCUCUACAAGGGACUCUUGUUUUGGCUCUAAUUGGUGGUCAUUUAAAACUUUGUUGGUUUUUGCUGUAACGGUUCUGUGCUACUUUGCUAUUCUAUCUAUUUGAUUUGCUUUGCUGGAGAUUAUAUCUAGUACAAUAGGAUCAUUGUAAACAGGUAUGUCCAGAACUACAAGGAAAAGGUGAAGUUGGAGCAUAGGUUCUGAAGUGCACAGUUGGGAAAGGAGGAUGAGAGGCAGAGCUUUUAGCAACAUUUUUUUGGAGAUUUGCAGGGGAGCAACAAUGGUUGAUCAGAUUGUGACUAUCUAUUGAAUGACCAAAUAAUGAGAUGCCAGUAAGUUUACUUGAAAGUUGUCUGCAAUUUGUUGUUUCCUUUGGCCAAAACUUGCAGUUUAUUAUUGCAAUUUAUGCAGGAAGUAAAAAUGAUGAAAAGUUCUGUUUGUGCUGCAUUUGCUGAAAGAGUUUCAUCAAAUGCUGAGAGUUGGAUUUGAAUCUUGAGUACAAGCCAGAUGUCAGGGAAGACUUAGAGGCUGUGGGGAAGAAACUUGAAGAAUGCACCGGACAAUCAUGUGGAAGAUGGAGCAGUGA
This is a long non-coding RNA of Rosa chinensis, 1419 nucleotides long. RefSeq lists it as uncharacterized. The record is from RefSeq and is a predicted model, not a curated record. The transcript is spliced from 7 exons. Lineage: Eukaryota; Viridiplantae; Streptophyta; Magnoliopsida; Rosales; Rosaceae.